Molecule: unclassified non-coding RNA, 300 nt
Filed under: uncultured Conocybe
Lineage: Eukaryota; Fungi; Basidiomycota; Agaricomycetes; Agaricales; Bolbitiaceae
Description: sequence contains 5.8S rRNA gene, ITS2
Rfam family: 5.8S ribosomal RNA (bases 1-71)
Source: RNAcentral
GUGAGUCAUCGAAUCUUUGAACGCACCUUGCGCUCCUUGGUAUUCCGAGGAGCAUGCCUGUUUGAGUGUCAUUAAAUUCUCAAUCUCUACAACUUUGUGAUGUUUAGAUUGGAAGUGGGGGUUGUUGUGUGGAAUCUAAUUCCUCACUCCCUUUAAAUGCAUUAGCUGGAAUGCCUCUGCAUAUCUGACUAUCAGUGUGAUAAUUAUCUAUGCUGUAGUCGUUGCAUGAGGGUAUCUGCUUCAUAAAUCGUCGUAAGACAAUUCUAUAUGACCAUCUUGACCUCAAAUCAGGUAGGACUA